RNAcentral lists this small RNA (1427 nucleotides) under Pan troglodytes (chimpanzee). RNAcentral's name for it is "processed transcript". Lineage: Eukaryota; Metazoa; Chordata; Mammalia; Primates; Hominidae. The record is from RNAcentral.
AUGUUCCUUCUUCUGGUGCUUCUCACUGGACUUGGUGGGAUGCAUGCAGACCUCAAUCCUCAUAAAAUCUUCCUGCAGACCACAAUUCCAGAGAAGAUUUCAUCAUCGGAUGCAAAAACAGAUCCAGAACAUAAUGUUAUUUACAUGAUUACCAUAGAAGGAAAGCCAUAUUUUGUCCAUCUCAAAAAGCAAUCAAUUUUAUCUUCAGCUUCUGUUAUUAAUUCUUAUGACGAAAAUGACAUCCGUCAUUCCAAACCUCUGCUAGUUCAGAUGGAUUGCAAUUAUAAUGGAUAUGUUGUGGGUAUUCCAAAUUCUCUUGUGACUCUCAGCAUAUGUUCAGGACUCAGGGGAACAAUGCAGCUGAAAAACAUCUCAUAUGGAAUUGAACCGAUAGAGGCUGUAUCAGGAUUUAUACACAAGAUUUAUGAAGAAAAAUAUGCUGACACUAAUAUUCUCUUAGAAGAAAAUGACACUUAUACUUGGUUUAAUUCAGAGUAUCAAGUCAGAAAAAGUUCAGAAGUAGUCUGGUGAUGUAAAGGAUUUUAGCAUCUGUAGCUUGGAUGACUUUAAAUAUAUUUCUUCUCAUAAUGGCCUUACAUGUCUUCAGACAAACCCUCUUGAAAUGCCAACCUACACACACAGGAGAAUAUGUGGCAAUGGGUUGUUGGAAGGAAGUGAAGAAUGUGAGUGUGGCACUAAAGACUUCAAACCGGCUAAUACGAUUUAUAGGAAAUCAGUUGAUAAAGAAUGCGAUUUCACUGACUAUUACAAUGGGGACCUUCCAUACUGUUUGCCUGACACUUAUGUACGUGAUGGAGAAUAUUGUGAUUCAGAUGGAGCCUUCUGUUUUCAAGGAAAGUGUUGGACUUUUGACAAACAAUGUGAUGAUUUAAUUGGAAGAGGUUCAAGAGGUGCUCCAAUUUUCUGUUAUGAUGAAAUUAAUACCAGAGGAGACAAUUUUGGAAACUGUGGCACUGCACAUUGUCUUUUCCAACAUAUUCUAUGUGCAAAAUUAUUCUGUACAUGGGAACACAGAGACUUAAUAUCACGUCCAAAUUUAUCUGUGAUUUAUGCACAUGUAGGAGACCAAACAUGUGUGUCUAUAUACCUACCCAGGAGGACGCCACCUCCAGUAAAUUCACCUAUUUCAAUCACAUCAUAUUAUUCAGCUGAAGACAGAGAUGAAACAUUUGUACAAGAUGGUUCCAUGUGUGGUCCUGAUAUGUAUUGUUUCGAAAUGCAUUGUAAACAUGUUAGAUUCCUGAUGAAUUUAAAAUUGUGUGAUGCUUCUAAUCAUUGUGAUCGUCAUGGAGUUUGUAACAAUUUUAACCAUUGCCAUUGUGAAAAGGGAUAUAAUCCUCCUUACUGCCAACCAAAGCAAGGAGCAUUUGGAAGUAUUGAUGAUGGACACUUAGUACCACCAACUG